RNAcentral lists this long non-coding RNA (2701 nucleotides) under Triticum aestivum (bread wheat). RNAcentral's name for it is "long non-coding RNA (TAES_LNC010301)". The record is from RNAcentral. Lineage: Eukaryota; Viridiplantae; Streptophyta; Magnoliopsida; Poales; Poaceae.
GAAAAUGAUUCCUUGAAUUGGCAAUCGCUUCAAUGUAGUACUCCCUCCGUCCCGCAAUAAGUGACUCAAAAAUGACUCAACUUUGUACUCCUUCCUUCAAUUGGAGUAUAUGUUUUCUUUUCUCAUAGGAAAGGAGAGUGCUUUAAUUUUUUACAGAACAAAAUUGAGAUUGAUUUAUUCUUUAGUUAAAAUUGGUGCCACGAAUAUGUUUCAUGGAAUCUGAGAAUUGUUCCAAACGUAUCGAUAAAGUACUUCCAAUAUAGUAAAAAUUGGCAGUCUAAGGAUUUUGCAUUGAACCUCUUUUAAAAUGGUGAUGAAAGACCACACAUGUUGAAGAUAAGUUUGGCCUUAAUCUAAUCGAGAAACAACUGUUUUUCAUACCAGACAAGCAACUACUCCUCUCCGAGUCAAUGUGCCACACCAUUCACUCACCGGUGUAAUCCAUACACAUGUUCAGUACCUUUUGAAUUUUAUGCUCCCGCUUCUCCAUGUGUCAACCCCUUUGUUCCUUGUUGACCCUAGCUUGUCUUGAUGCAACAUCAAGCAACAACAAAAUAUUACACCUGAUACGACAUCAAGCUAUACAGGAACUAUUAGACCACCCAAAUUAUUGAAGCUUCAGAAUUUGUGUCUGGGUCCAUGCCUAAUAAACUGGAAGAAAACCAAAAGAUACUUAUUGAUAUGAAUCAACUUGGUUAAGUAUGGUCAAAUACAAUGCACGGUGGAAUAUCUGCCCUGGAAAACAAAAGAAAAGGAGAUGGAAGAAAUCAUGCACUCAAUGGGUGGCUGUAAGUUCACGGGUAUCAAGACUUGGCUCACAUAUCAUUGAUCAUGGGUCUGUGUCAAUAUGGCUCCGGUGCCCAGUUUAUCACGGUGUUUUGUUAUUAUUUCCGAGAUAGUACUUUCUAUUAUAGUGUUGAGAUAAGCAAUUUAGAUGUUUUAAAUAUUCCCAGCUCUUUGGAUAAGAAGUAUUUCAGUAACUGAAUAAUCUUUGACCGUCCAAAAGAACUACCAUGUUUCUUUGGGAAUAACAGCAGAACAAAAAAAUCGAGAAUCAUGGCUGACCUAUGAGGCGCAGAUGUUGCCGAGGACCUAUAACCAUGCCUCCUCUCCUUUGCGCAACCUUGAAACCACGAGUAAUUACCUGGCAUUAUUUCAUUAUCUCAGCUGGUUUUAUGACUUCGAACAUAUGAGAGUACUCUAACAUGUAAAAUAAUUCUUUCUCAGGUUCCAAAUAAGUCAACAGUAGGUCAAAAAUAGAGGUGAAACAUUGCCAGGCAGGCAGACACACAACAACAGCCGAUGAUUAUAGCUUAAGGUCCAAUGAGGAUAAUAUAAGUAGUGGAAAACGGAAUUUUGUAUCCACAUCCCUAUUGAUCAAGGAGUAAGUCAACAUGAUACAAGGAACGUACAACAACACACCCGAGACAAUAUAAUUACAACACUGCAGAAAAAUUAGAGAUCCAUGUAAUCAAAUAUCUCUUUGUUAAAUUUUAGCUGAACAACUUAACUUAUAGAGUGUCGAUGGUUCAGAUCUUUUUCCUUUUAAUUAACAUGUGAGUUAUUAUAAAGUGGGUAAUUUCUUUUUGCGGUAUAUAAAGUGGGUAACUCAUAUAGACUAAGACAUGGAAAAAGGGUGUAGGUGGUGCAAAUUCAUAGCAAGUUUUAUAUUGGAUGCACACAAACAACUGUGUGGACACACAAAAAGAAAACAAUCACUUUGAAAGUUUGAAUAGAAAUGUCUAAAUGAACAUCAGAUGGUCUAGUAUCUCCACUGAGAGCACUACAUGGACCCCUCAUUAACAAUUUAGCAAUGAACAAACAAUUCUAGUAUUUAGACAUGAGAAUACCUUGUACAGAAUUUCAAAGCCAUAAAAAACGUUACCACUGGUUUGGGUAUCCUGGAAAUAGAACAGAGGUAAUAAAUUCCUUAUAACUAAUCAGGUGAACAUAGAAAAUUGAUUACCUCUGGUUUGAUCCCAUGUGCUCUAGCCAAAAAUAGAUCAAAUCAGCAGGAUAUCCUAUAAGGAAACAAAUCUAGCAAGGAAACUGAUUAUUAUUAUAUCUAAUUUCCAGCUACCAGUGGUAGGCGCAAAGUGGAACACUAUUACGUAGGACAACAAAUUUGGGCAGGAGGAUGUAUAAUGGUUAUGAAUGCCAGGCAAAGUGUAUUAAGUUCAUAACUAUGAGCAUGCAAAUAAUUUAUAUGAAGGGUCCCUUUUCUUCUGCAUAAGUGAGACAUACUGUAUGUAUGUGUAAUGUGUCAACCUGUACACAAAUACAAAAUAUAUAUUACAACGGAAAAUGCGUGAAUAUGAUGAUGAAUAUCUUAUUCUGAACUCUUUUGCAUCUUGUAUAAUGGACAGGGAUUGAGAUUCUAAUUUCGGCACUACUGGAGAGUAUGUUGUGUGCAAAACGAAACUACAUGCAGUAAUCUACAUGAUUGUUCGUACCAACAGAGAAACAAUUUUGCAUUUAGUAGAUGUGUGUAUGUUUCAGGGUUACUUUCACAAUAUUUAGUUGCUAUAGAAAAAACACUUAAGGCUAGCAAAUAGAAUUAACCUAGUACAUAGAAAGUAGAGAACUGACCGCUGCAGUAAAUUAUGAACUGAUAUCACACAUAAAACAGUAACAUACCCCAAAAUCUAUUCCUCGCAGCUCCCCACAAGUCUUCCUUCGCCCUCUUCUGCUCCACCAACCC